CUCACUAUGUAGUCCAGUCUGGCCUUGGACUCACUAUGUAGCUGAUGCUUAUCUUGACUUGUUGAGAUUCUCUGUCCUUAGCCCCCUGAGUGCCGGGAUUACAGAUAAAAGGAGACUAAGAGAAUAUACAAUUCUUGAUGAAAACCUUGGGUGACACACUGGCCUGCCUGCAUUACUCUCGGCUGCUUCCGGGGGGAGACUUUAAUAUGAAGAGAAAGGACAAGGGGCCACGCGGGACAAAGGGGGACUCUUAACUCCAGCCCUGAGGACCACGGGGGAAGAGGUGCAGGUACACCAGGA
Fukomys damarensis (Damara mole-rat) is the source of this 300-nucleotide long non-coding RNA. RefSeq lists it as uncharacterized. NCBI's taxonomy places the organism in Eukaryota, Metazoa, Chordata, Mammalia, Rodentia, Bathyergidae. The transcript is spliced from 3 exons. The record is from RefSeq and is a predicted model, not a curated record.